GCUAAUCUUCAUACCAAAGGCAAGACAACUGUUUCUCAAACAUUUCUUCUGUAAUAAGCGUUAUAAUAAUUUUGCCCUUUGGUAGCCUGUAAAUUGAGGGGAAAACAGAACAAGGAAUGGCAAUGUUCGCAAUGCCUCUGAUGGCGGCUGCAACAGCUGCAGCUGCGGCCGUGGGAGCUUACAGCCGCUUCUAUCAACAGGGUUUUGAAAUUCGACAGGUUUAUAAGGGAGAAGCGAAGGAAAUGAGCGUAGAUGAAAAGAGGGCAUCAAGAAAGAGCAGCGGAGUAGUUUUCGCUCCGGAAUUUGACGGUUUACAUUGCUAUGAAAAUUUAAUUUCUCGUUGAAUAAUUUUUUAAUCUUUCUCCAUAAGAGACCUUCGAUUCAUCUAAAUCUUUAUUCUUUUCCCAGCGAUUCUGCCGCUGGUUGUACAACAGACUAUUUUAUUCAAUCAUUGAUCUGUAACAUGUGUAUUAACGAACCAAAUUUUAAAUCAAAAUUUAUUUAUCCUUUACCCUC
Long non-coding RNA from Cryptomeria japonica (Japanese cedar), 516 nucleotides. RefSeq lists it as uncharacterized. The record is from RefSeq and is a predicted model, not a curated record. NCBI's taxonomy places the organism in Eukaryota, Viridiplantae, Streptophyta, Pinopsida, Cupressales, Cupressaceae. The transcript is spliced from 2 exons.